This 460-nucleotide ribosomal RNA is filed under the name uncultured bacterium. RNAcentral describes it as "partial 16S ribosomal RNA". It matches the Rfam family "Bacterial small subunit ribosomal RNA", at positions 338 to 795 of the family's 1533-position model. The record is from RNAcentral.
CCUACGGGUGGCUGCAGUGAGGAAUAUUGGUCAAUGGGCGAGAGUCUGAACCAGCCAAGUAGCGUGAAUGAUGACUGCCCUAUGGGUUGUAAACUUCUUUUAUAUGGGAGUAAAAUGUUCCACGUGUGGGAUUUUGUAUGUACCAUAUGAAUAAGGAUCGGCUAAAUUCGUUCCAGCAGCCGCGGUAAUACGGAGGAUCCGAGCGUUAUCCGGAUUUGUUGGGUGUAAAGGGAGCGUAGGUGGAUUGUUAAGUCAGUUGUGAAAUCUUAGGGCUCAACCGGAAAAUUGCAGUUGAUACUGGCAGGCUUGAGUACAGGAGAGGGGGGCGGAAUUCGAGGUGUAGCGGUGAAAUGCUUAGAGAUCACGAAGAACUCCGAUUGCGAAGGCAGCUCACUGGACUGAAACUGACACUGAGGCGCGAAAGCGUGGGUAGCAAACAGGAUUAGAUACCCUAGUAGUC